This 371-nucleotide ribosomal RNA is filed under the name Boana bischoffi (Bischoff's treefrog). RNAcentral's name for it is "partial 16S ribosomal RNA". It matches the Rfam family "Bacterial large subunit ribosomal RNA", at positions 1994 to 2515 of the family's 2925-position model. Lineage: Eukaryota; Metazoa; Chordata; Amphibia; Anura; Hylidae. The record is from RNAcentral.
GAAUGGCAUCACGAGGGUUACACUGUCUCCUUUUUUUAAUCAGUGAAACUAAUCUCCCCGUGAAGAAGCGGGGAUUUUCUUAUAAGACGAGAAGACCCUAUGGAGCUUUAAACAAACUAACACUUGCUGCCCAAAAUAACUUUUUCAGGAAACACGGCACACAGCAUAGCAAGAUGAUUAAUAGUUUUCGAUUGGGGUGAUCACGGAGUAAAAAAUAACCUCCAUGCCGAAAGGACCCUUCCCUGAGCAAAAAGCCACAACUUUAAGCACUAAAAAAAUUAACGUUUAUUGACCCAAUAUUUUGAUCAACGAACCAAGUUACCCUAGGGAUAACAGCGCAAUCCACUUCAAGAGCUCCUAUCGACAAGUGG